UCCUGAAGAAAAGUAAACACCACGUUCACACAAACUCUCUCACAUAGACUGACCAUACAACACUGCUAGUCUGCUACUAUGUUCAGGUAUGUGAGAUAUAAAAUACAAAUAGAUGAGAUAGAAUUACAAGUAGAUUAGCCCUAGAAUUUCAGGAGAGACAGAGAGAGUACAUCCAGGUGUAGAUUUCUGGUUGCCACACGGCCCCAAUGGCACAAACUACUGUUGUUGCGUUCACCAACAAACCUCAGAAAAUCUGCUGCCUACUAUAUCUAGCAACACUCGUUUCAGAUUUUAGUUUUCACCACGCAUUAUAGCCACCGACGGUUGCGCUAUAGCUGCUUUUUUAUUUGAACUUCCAUGAGAAUUUUACUCGACCUGCAUGGACACACUACAGGCGCGCGAUGGAGAACAACAGAAGCUUUAGUGACAACUGAACUUUAUCCAUGCACGAAGUUGAACUUUAUCCAUCGACAACUGUAGCUUCCUCGGCUUGUGCGUGCCACUGAGCAAACCUGUUCAUGGACCAAGGAGCCCCGGCGGUCGCCGACGCGAAGCACGACGCCAUGGACCAAAUACGAGUUCAUGCUUCAGGCAUUUUUCCAGUAACGAAACAGCCUGCAUGGUCUCUCGCCACCAGACAACUUCUGUUUUGCUAAUGCCAAAAUAAUUGUUAUGGAAAAAAAGCAUUUCGAAAUAAAUUAGUGGAAAACAAAGCAUUUACAAAUAAAUUGGCAAAGCUGCAAAAGUGAUAAAAUUACUUCAGAAGCUAUCACAACUAUAUCAAUUUAGUGCUUUGUGUCAAAUGUAGUUUCUAAAAAGCUUGAGCUAUAUUGAGAUGGAACCCGUGAGAUGAGGUCAUCAUGUCUUUCUACUUAUUCUGUAUUCAUUUUUAGUGCCAAUUUACUAAUAGUCAUUUUACCCAUGAGAUGAGGUUGUGGUGCAAGUGUUCAAGAUGAGAGGACCCAAAGGUCACAACCUCUCUGCACUAAGUACCUGUGUAGCCAAAAUAUCACAAAAAGCAAGAAAGCAACUUCUCUGAAUGUACUAAAAAAGCAUUCUCUGAACUUCAUUACCCAGCCACUUCAAACUGCAGCCCCCUCGGCAGCACGCCGAGCACGUCGGAGAGACGCACACCACACGCAGCCAUCGUCGACCGUCCCAUGGUCGUUGGGGUGAUGCUGCUGCAUUGCGGGCUCCAUCUGUAGCUUCAAUGGCUGAAAGGGAAG
This 1226-nucleotide long non-coding RNA is filed under the name Triticum aestivum (bread wheat). Its description in RNAcentral is "long non-coding RNA (TAES_LNC020514)". Lineage: Eukaryota; Viridiplantae; Streptophyta; Magnoliopsida; Poales; Poaceae. The record is from RNAcentral.